UCCGGUUUGUCACCGGCGGUCUCCUUAGAGUUCCCACCAUUACGUGCUGGCAACUAAGGACAAGGGUUGCGCUCGUUGCGGGACUUAACCCAACAUCUCACGACACGAGCUGACGACAGCCAUGCAGCACCUGUGUUCGAGUUCCCGAAGGCACCAAUCCAUCUCUGGAAAGUUCUCGACAUGUCAAGGCCAGGUAAGGUUCUUCGCGUUGUACACCUGAAC
Molecule: unclassified non-coding RNA, 222 nt
Filed under: uncultured Lysobacteraceae bacterium
Lineage: Bacteria; Pseudomonadati; Pseudomonadota; Gammaproteobacteria; Lysobacterales; Lysobacteraceae
Description: uncultured Xanthomonadaceae bacterium contains 16S-23S intergenic spacer region
Source: RNAcentral